AGAGUGAACGCUGGCGGCAGGCCUAACACAUGCAAGUCGAACGGCAGCACAGUAAGAGCUUGCCUCUUAUGGGUGGCGAGUGGCGGACGGGUGAGGAAUACAUCGGAAUCUGCCUAUUUGUGGGGGAUAACGUAGGGAAACUUACGCUAAUACCGCAUACGACCUACGGGUGAAAGCGGAGGACCUUCGGGCUUCGCGCAGAUAGAUGAGCCGAUGUCGGAUUAGCUAGUUGGUGGGGUAAGCCACCAAGGCGACGAUCCGUAGCUGGUCUGAGAGGACGAUCAGCCACACUGGAACUGAGACACGGUCCAGACUCCGUACGGGAGCAGCAGUGGGGAAUAUUGGACAAGU
Molecule: ribosomal RNA, 351 nt
Filed under: uncultured soil bacterium
Lineage: Bacteria
Description: bacterial SSU rRNA
Rfam family: Bacterial small subunit ribosomal RNA
Source: RNAcentral